UGAGUGUUGACACACCGAAAUUCAGGAGGCUUCUGAACCCCGCAAAACAGGGGUCUGACAGAUCUGUCAGGGCACACCUGCUUUAGGGGACCGGCCUUCCUACCAGGAAUGCUCAUUUUUAAAAGCUUUCAAGAGCCAUCUUCCGUGUACACCUAACGUUUAAAGAAGGGGUUUAUUUUCAGGGCUGAUUUGUCCGGGCGCCUUGGGCGGCCCCGCUGUCCCGCGGGGCGCAGGAGCGCGGUGGGGCCGCGGCUCUGCCGGGCAGGGCUCGGGGGGGCUGCCCUUGCCAGGCGGGACCGGCAGCCCGAGCACUGCCAGAACACAACAGCCUGUGUAAUCACAUCUUCCCGGGAACUGUGUUAGCUCCGUGGGGAGCUCCGUCCAUUUGGAGGGGGGGAGGAGGAGGAGGAGGAGGGAAGAGACUUGCUUUGGUAGGGAGGGCGAAGGGGGGGUAAGGUGAAAAGGGUCAGUGAGUAACCCAGCUCUCGCUCGAAUAUGAUAAAGGUAAUUGUUGCUCUCAAGUGAGCACCGGGUGCUUCCUGGCUCUGGCUGCUCUCGCUGCUCGUGUCUGUGUUAUGCAGGCGUCUGCUCUGCCGAGCAGGGCUUUGCGAGAAGACAGAAGAGGUUUGAUUGACCCUGUUGGGAGCGUGAGCUGUGGGCUCUGUGGAUGCUUUGCUGUGACGGAGGGCCGAGGGCUGACCAAGUCGUGGGGAGGAUUUGUAUGUGGGAAGAGAGGAGAUGGCUGUGCAGCGUGCUCCCGAAUCUGCUCUGAGCUUGCUGAUGGUCUCAAUUGCAUUCAAGUUGAGCUUUUACCAAGUGCCAUACAGAAUCCAACACCACAUGUAUGUUAACUGCAUUUCAACUCAGAGACAGAUGAAGCAUCAUAUGAGAAAAGGCUCAUUUAAAUUCUGUGUUAUAAUGGAGUGACAGAUCCAUACAGUAAAAAUCAUGAGUAAUUUUCCUUCCCUAAUGAUUCUGGCUUAAAAACAUGUUAACAGAAAGGUUGUGUUUUGUUGUGUUAAAAUUUUGUAUUUUUCAUCUGCAUUUUGGAAUUCCACAUUUGAAAGCUUAUUCCUCAAGAACAAAGGUUGGAAACUUUAAUUCCAUGCUUUCCAGUUUUAAAAAAAGAUGAGGCACAAAACUGAAGGGCACAGAUUAUAUGUUUAAAAUACAGGGAGUUCCAUCCUGCUGUGUGCUUCACCAAAGAAAAUACCUGCUAUAAGCUGUAUAUAGGCCAUGUUCUGUUUAUCCUACCCUGUUCCCUAACAGACUGUAUGGAGCUGUCUCAACUGUGUCAGAGGCAGGAGAGUUCCCAGCUCCAUAAUAAACUUUGGUCUAUCACAUAUUUUACCCCA
RNAcentral lists this long non-coding RNA (1355 nucleotides) under Parus major (Great Tit). RNAcentral describes it as "lncRNA (ENSPMJG00000001843.1)". The record is from RNAcentral. Lineage: Eukaryota; Metazoa; Chordata; Aves; Passeriformes; Paridae.